UGUUCCCCGGUCGUUUUUGCCUCGCGGGUGAUCCCUUUCCCAGGCUCUGCGGCCGGCGCGGGCCUCCAGAGUCUGGGCCGUGCUCUCCCCUCCGCCGGCCGCGCGCUCGCCUCCUGGCGCCUCCUGAGGCCGCAGCUCCGGGAGCGCGGGCGGCGGGGCGUGAGCGGUGCCUUCGCCGCCAUCUUAGGGAGCGAGAGCCGGGGGUGCGCGAACCGCUUGGCCCGUCCGGCUCGACGCGGCGGAGCCCUCCUUGCCAACCGAGAGGCCAAGUUAUCACCCUGCAGGACCGGGAGGAAGUGCUGAUGAGAAGGGGAUUUGUGCUUCCCGGGGAUUGAGGGUCCAUACCGGGGGGUGGGCUCGACCUCCCGGAGAAACGCUUGGGUCACCCUUCAGAGUUGACGGGAUGGAUUGGAGCUAGACCCAGUACCAGCCUAGGCUAGCCAAGGGGCCUGAGCUGUGUCUGACCGUUUUUUUGAGGCAGGAAUGGCUUCCGUCCAUGAAGAGCAUUAUUAGCACACAACCUGGUACCUCCAACUACGGUUGAUAAGGCACAGCCUCUAAUACCUCCUGGUUCAAGCGUAUUCGUCCAAUUCUCCUCACACUGGAGUCCAGCAGGCACGUGCCCCCGGGCUCGCCAAUACCCCAAAGCUCCAACAUUUGCAGCUAAGCAGCUUAUCCGAGACAAUAACAUAUUGGAAGUAGAGCCUUAAGAAGUCAGUUCUCUUGAGGCUUAAUUUUUGCACCUGCAAAAUAAGGGAUUUGGGCCGGCAUGAGUUCACUGUUAAAAUAAGACUGAGCUCUGUUUCUGUACCGCAGACCUUGUGCUAAGUGUUUUACAUACAUUAUCUCAUUUAAUCCUGACACCUGUUUUAUUGGAUACAUAAUAUUCUCAUUUUAGGGAAAACAAGCCGUCAUUUUUAUCUUGCCUCCCCGUGCCAUGAAAUACUAGGUAAAGACAUUCUAGGAACCAACUAUUAGAACAAUAGAUUUAAGGGUAAUGCUGAAGGCCUUGAUAGUUUCGUAAUUAUUUGUAGUCUUGAUUGUAAGUUGCGAUACAGUAGUUAACAGUGAAAACAAGCAUGGGCUAAAGUAAAAGGAGGCCAUGAUCCACUGUGAUGGUGGUGGACAAAAAUGACGCCAUGAUGACUAACAGCAGUUAAAACUUCACAUUUAGAAUGCUCCUUUUGCAACGUUUACAGCUCCAGCCCUCGGCCAGGAUGCUGGUUAGGACUGCGGGAUGACACUCCCGGGCUGGGAACAGCUUUGCUGCUGCAGCCCUAUUGUCUGCUAGUGUGACUGUUUUCCCACUCAGCUGUUGCUUCUCACUGCUCUCCUCUCCGUGAGCAGAGUUCUGUUAUCCUCCCCACCCUUUUAAUUUACUGCUUUUAAUCUUCACCAAAGGAAACCACAUAAUGAAGCUUGUGCAAAACUGUCUCAAGGGUAUAAAUAGACACUUUGAGGCAGUGUCCUUUAGGAAAAGUGUGACCUUUGCGCUCAGAACAUUGUAACAUCAGUUUCAGGCAAUUUAGAGACUUCUUUAUUCCUAGCUUCUGGUACCAUCAUUUUACUUUCAGAAUGCAUACUUUUAUUUACAUGAAUUCUUACAGUUGGGAUAUUUUUCCUUUUAUGAGAAUUAGAUGUAUGUCUUCUAAUUGUAGUAAGGUUAAUAUUUAAUUUUAAUGUUACCAUUAUACUAGCUCAAAUAGCCAAGCUACAAUGCAAGCUAUAGAAUUCAAAACAUGAUACACUGAUAGAUUAUAUGUUUGUAUACAUGUAUAUAUGUUAUAUAUAUAUGAUAUAUAUAUAUAUAUAAUCCUUUUGCUUCUCAAUAGUCAGUUCUGACAGGAACUCUUUUCAGAUCAUCUUUAAAGCUGUAUGGUUGUAUCUUCAUAUGUAUCAUACAUAUAUUUCAGAAAUAACUUGUUAGGGAAUCUUAGGAAAGACCCAGCAGAGCUUUAACAACUAUUGCAUUUAUAAUGAAAAAUAUAAUCUGAGCUUAAGAAAGGUAUCUUACAUUCCUUGACAUUUCAAUAAACUAUCAAUACAUUAUUUUUUCUGAAUUCUAAAUAUGAGGCAGGCAUACCUCCUGUGCGUACAAUUCCAAGUUAGUUUUUCUGUGAAUUUUAAUCGUUGUUUUCUUUGAACUUUGUUUCUGCUCUAAGACUGUAGUGACUCGGAGAGCCAUGGGCAAACACAGUUGUGUCUGAAACACUUGAGGAAAAGCAACUUGAUUCCCUCUGUCUAUACUUUACCAAGUGCUGUAGCAUAGCCUUAAAGUCAACACUGACUCAGAGACCCCAAACUCACAGCAUUGCUUUUCUAGAACACCAAACUGCAUCAGUUUCUACAGCUCCAGCUACAGAGGGUGAAGCACUCACUCAGUGAUGCGUGGAUAAGUGGAUCGAAAAUGGAGCCUCAUGAAUGAAGUCUCGUGACAAGUCUGAUCAACGGUAUAUACUGAGAGACCACCAUGGGGCAACUUCCAGUAAAUCCAUCGUUAGAAGUAGUUUGCUUAAGUCUGUUAUUCUUCGUCCGUUCACUUCCAGUCUUUUCUCCA
Molecule: long non-coding RNA, 2557 nt
Organism: Peromyscus maniculatus bairdii (prairie deer mouse)
Lineage: Eukaryota; Metazoa; Chordata; Mammalia; Rodentia; Cricetidae
Source: RefSeq, a predicted model, not a curated record